GUGCUUGCUUUGGCAGCACAUAUACUAAAAUUAGACUAUAGAGAAGAUUAGCAUAGUGCAAGGAUGACAUGCAAAUUUGUGAAACAUUUCACAAAAAA
RNAcentral lists this small nuclear RNA (98 nucleotides) under Meriones unguiculatus (Mongolian gerbil). Lineage: Eukaryota; Metazoa; Chordata; Mammalia; Rodentia; Muridae. The record is from RNAcentral.